Molecule: long non-coding RNA, 625 nt
Filed under: Nicotiana benthamiana
Lineage: Eukaryota; Viridiplantae; Streptophyta; Magnoliopsida; Solanales; Solanaceae
Description: long non-coding RNA (NBEN_LNC041405)
Source: RNAcentral
AAAAAAAGAAGAUAGACCCAUCGAAAAGACCAAAGAGACAAAAGUUGCCACCCGCAGCAUACAUGGAUCCCCCUAAUCGGAAUUCUCUCAUUCUUGAAGAGAAUACACAGAAAGAGACCUAUACACACAGAUACAACAACCGAUUUUUUACUAAGAACAACGACUAUACUAAAUUAUUAGAGAUAUACACUCUAUAGAAGAAGAGAUCGGCGGCAGGCCCAAAAAAUCCAGAACAUCCCCCCACCCAAAACCCCCCUCUAUUCAUCUCCUUCAGCAAAUCAACGACCACCCUAAGAUUCAUCUUGGCUAGACCAUUCGAACACAUAGACUCACACGAAAAAUAAAAAAUGGGGCUUUGAAGGAAGACAAAAUAGAGGUUCGUUAUUCAACUUCAAAUCGACUAAAUAGGUUAGAAUUUUCACAUUCUCAUCUAAGAAGUUUUAGAUUCUUCAACGAAGCUCUCGCAGUCGUGCAAAACUUAGAGAAACAGAGAGUUUGGGGAGGUUCCCCCGGGUCUUGUACGAGUUUCCAAUUGACAUUCAUUCAAUUAGAUUUAUUAGCCGUAGUUCUAUUUCCGCGUCGAUGUCCCUUGUGUUUAUUGCUCAUAGGGAAAUUUUAAUUGAAU